Molecule: RNA transcript, 5322 nt
Organism: Manis pentadactyla (Chinese pangolin)
Lineage: Eukaryota; Metazoa; Chordata; Mammalia; Pholidota; Manidae
Gene: SYSRN
Gene name: coiled-coil domain containing 201
Exons: 5
Source: RefSeq, a predicted model, not a curated record
CCUCCACGACUCCGCCCUGCGCCUGCGCCCCCACGGGGACGUCCCGUGGAGGCUGUGCGCACGUGGGCUUCAGCUCACCUGCCCGGAGCCGGGGGUGCGUGCCGCGGGCACAGGAGGGCGUGGGGCUUGCCCGGAGCUGCAGAGGAGUCCCUACGGAAAGGCGAGAUGGAGACUGGGGCGCAGAUCCGGGCGGCCUGGGUGGAACCCUGAGACCCCAGCCUGCGCCUCCUGAGGGACAACGGGGAGCCCUUGGUUUCUUCUCUCCUUAGUACAAGGGAUCCCUCGGCGGGUUCAAAGCGGAAGAGCAUGGACAGGGUACGGCGUCCUGCCAGCCCCACCCUAAGUAACGCUAGGUUUAGCUCCUUCCCAGACGCCUUUCGAUUCAUAUUUCUCUCCGUUUGCCCAGAAAUACUCUACCUAAAGCAGAGAUCACUCCUCACCAACAGUUUGGAAGAUCAUUUGUAUAAAAACUUUUAAGGGUUGCUGCAUGUUUAUCCAUUAGGGUGUUGGUAUUUGCCUAGAUUUUAGGAUGAUUAGCCCCUUGUUUAUCUUUUAUAGGAAUUGUGGUUUGUCCUUUUAUCCCCUUAGAAUAUUAUUAUUAUUCUGCUUGCAGAAGUUUUAAAAAAUUGUAUUUAGUUUAACCUUUCUUUUACAGCAUCUGUGUUGUGGGUUAUUUGAAAGCCUUACUUCUGAUGAGUUUGCAGAGAAAUAACAGUAUUUCUUUCCAAUACUUUAAUAGCUUUGUUUUUUUACAUGGAAAUCUUUUAUUUUUUGUUUUUUGAAUUUAUCUUGGUGAAUGAUUUGAUAAUAAAAUGCAGUUUUGUUCUAGAUUUUUAAAAAUUAUUCCAUUGUUUUUUCAUAACAUGAAUUUUUGAAGAGUGUAAUACUCAAUCCGUUGUAGUUUAUUUUAGUGUAGGAUGUUCCGAGGGGCAUGGCUUUACUUUGUUUUUUUCCUAAAAGGCCAACGAGUCAGAACAACAGCAUGCAGUGAGACAGGGAGACCUCUUUUAUGGUCAUUUGAAAUCCUGUGUCUUCCCAGUGAUAUUCCUUCUACCUCAGCUGUUCUGAGUAUUUGUCUCUGGACUGAGCGCCUCUGAGGACGAAGGCCCCCUUUCAGAGAUGAGUCCACUGCCCUUGAGAAGGGUCCUGCAGCACAGCACCCCGGAGGAAGCUGCCCUUUUGGGUGGGUAGGGCUGGACCAGGACCCCUGGGCUCCUGAGGAGGACACGCCCAUGCCAGCCUCGGGCACCUGGCCGCAGCAACAGGGAAAGUCCGGCCCGACAGGAAGGCGGCCACGAAACCUGGGACUGCCUGGGAUCCCCAGUGUGGCUGGGAGGAGGAGACGGGACCUGAAGAAGCUGGCGGCUGCGCCUUUGAAGCCCCUUUUGCUGAAGUGCCUGGACUCCUUGGAAGCCGGGUGUGGGAGCACUGGACUGCUGCUACCACCUUCUGUCAUUUAGCCCCUCCAGGCCCUCUUGAAGGGGCUUGGGUCCAGCUUCCAGGCUACAGCAGAUGGUGCAGCUCUCCAGAAGUCCCUUUCCCUGCAAGCGUUCCUGUUGGCCUUGCAGCCCCCUCUGCAUGGCUUCGCUCUCCUGUCUGGUGGGGGUGUCAGUCAUUCAGGGCUUCUCUUGAUGCUGCCCCGCACACGCCUCUGUCCUGUGCCUGAGCUAGUGAGGAGCAGCCUUGUACAACUGACCAGAAGUCCUGUGUGUGGACCUACCCACCAGGACUGCCUCUCUUUUGCAGGGCAUCUGUGUCCUAUCCCUAGUCUCCUCCCUGUGGGCUGAUGCUCCCCCCUGCCACUAGGAGGGAUGGAAUGAGCCCGGCUGGAAUACUCCAGAGCUGGAGAAGAGAAGGGGCCUGUGGGUGUCACUGUGGGAUGGUGAUUGUCACAAAACCUCACCUCCCCCAGCUCAUCCUGGGUCUCCAGAGACAGCACAGCCCCUGGGCCCAGGCGGUCCUUCUGUGUAGGCUGCAGGCGCUCUGUUGGGGCAGCCAACUCCCAGCUGUGUGCUUGCUUCAGGGGCAGUUCCUUUGCUUCCAGGGGCUUGCUGGCUGGUCACGGGCUCCCACUCCAGCCAUUGUCCGUGCCCCCACUGGCACUCCUCAACACCAGUAUUUCCUGCACCUCAUUUUGCCCUUCUAGGUUUGCUUCUAUUUUUUCACUUUCAGGGUCAGGACCCUGAAGCGUGGUAACCUGCCAUCAGUGGCAGCAGACACCAUCCUUUCUUCUACCGCCAACCUUGUACUUUGUGACCCAGCACCAACACACACCCCGUGCCAUCGUGCUCAGCCACCUGUACCCCAGGCUCCAGUUUGUAUGAGCCUGAGCCUGUCUUGUUCAGAAGCAGGUUUCCUCCUGCUCCUUUCCUAGUCCUGACCUGAGGCCCCGUCCUCCUCGCUGCAGCUCCUGAAGAGGGGACUCCUCAGGCCUGUGGGAAAUUGUCUAGACUGCCCCUCACAGAUGCUCUGCCCUCAGAUGCUGCCCAGGCUGGCCCUCCUUGUCCCUGUCGCAUCCCCACCGGCCUCUUCAUGCUCUUGCCAGACCCAGGUCCCCUGGUCCUUACCUUAUCUUCCUGCCCCACAUGGAGACUCGGCCCUCUGGGUGGUGGCUGGCACAUGCAGGCUGGGUAGGUUAGCUCUGAGCUGAGAAGCCCGGAUGGUGCCCAAGAGCUGACCUUGUGGGUUCUGCAGCCCAGAUGGACAUCUGCUUUACCUACAUAACCUCUCCUACAGAGCAAACCAUCUGAGACACUUUUCCUCUGACAGAUGGAGCAAGUGAGGCAGUGGGAAGCCUGGCUGCUGCAGAGCAUUGAGGAGGCCACCCAGCAUGAGCUCACCAUCCAGGACUGCUAGAGCAGAAUAAGGCACCCCUAAAACAGGGCACCCCGAAACAGAAUCCCAGGCUGGAUUGGAACGAUAGGACAGGUAGACUCUAAGGUCAGGCAAGGUCAGGUGUUCUGUUUUGACUGAACCAGUGAGAGUUUUGCUGUCCAGCCGUGGGGCAGUCAGAAAGCAUUGAAGAGUGAGAACGUGGUCCUCCUGCACUUGUGUGGGGUUUCCAGUAAAGCAGGAGGGAUGAAAUUUCCCAGAAGAGUGGACAUGGCCCGGCUACAAGUCCUGGGGUGGUUGCACCCACUCCCCUCUGCUGAGGCUCCUGGCUGGUGGAUGGACACACUUGUGAGUUCAACAGCUGGUUCCUCCAGUAUAAGCUGACAGAUCAACUUGUUCACUUUUUCUUUUGUUACAACAAUUAUCAGCCUAUAAAAACUAAAGCUUAUGAAAUCUUCAAAUAAAAUUAUAAAGCAUGAAAAUUGCCUACAAUUGCACAACAUGGAGAUAAAUCAGCGUAGUUCCUUCUCAUUCUUACUGCUAAAAAUAAACAGUUUUCAUGAGAGCUAUUUCUAAAAUCUGGCUGAUGCAGAGUAAUUCAGAUAUGUAAUCAGGUUACCUAUCUCUGUCUUGUUUCCAUCCUUUGAAAAAUUCACCUUCAGAAUGAAACCAGGGAGAAGGGAGAAUAAUGUAAGGACUCUGGGGAAACUUGCUGGAGGCUGGGGAAUUACAGGCAUGCAGGAGGCAAUUUUAUGAGGAAGAUAAUUUCCUAGAUAUUUAUGUUGCCUUUCUCCUGUGUGCGUUAAUUAAAGAGGUUCCUGUGUUUGCACAGUGGAAUAUAUGCAAGUCUCCAUAGGCCCUCCAGUUACAUGUUUGAAAUGCACUUAUCUCAGAAAUGUCACAAAACAGCAUAGACUGAGCAUGUUCUGUCCAUGGGAAGAUGCUGGUAGGACGUGAAAGAGGGAACAAUUCCCAUGCCAGUGUCUCCGCAGCCUGAACCUGCACACAAGGACGGGAGUCCCACUAGCUGGCUACCACCAUCUGAGUCCACAGGAGUGUGGCUGGCCCUAAGGGGCAUUCUCAGACUGUGACAGUCGGACAACAGUGCUGGCAGCUCAGGGUGGGCAGUCAGUGAGAAACUGCAGGAUUUCUAGAUGAACAUUGUCUUAGGGGAAAUGACAGACCAUAAACAGUAGCCCUUGGGGGGAAUGAAGCCAUCCACGCUCAUUCAGAGAUGGGGGCAGGGGUGACUUGUAUCACCAUUUUGGAUGAAAAGCAUCUCCUUAAAUCUCGUUUGUGUAUACAAACCACAUAAUUUGCAAAAAACACAGUUUAGAACAUGGGGAAAGGAAAUGCAUGCUCUUCCUGAUACAGUUUCUGUUAAGUUGAAAUGAGUUUUCCUCUCCACUCUAUUUAAUGUUUUACCCUAGGGUAAAGAUCACGUUUACACACAGUGUCUGUACUCAGAGCCUAAGCACUCCCCCUCGUCACUAAGUGUGGCUCUGAAACCGGACCUGCCGGACCUGCCCAAGUUCCACUGCAGGAUGCCCUGUGCUCUGUGUUGAGAUUUCCACACUGCCAGACAUUUGGUCUCUGUAUUAGUUUCUAUUAGCUGAGUGUCUUGGUUUCUACUGUGUUUAAUUUCUGACUGCUGCAUAACAAGCUGAGAGGCUCAAAACAAAAUCCAUUUAUUAUCUCAGUUCUGGCAGCUCUGCCAGACCUCUGCCUGGGACCCUCCAGGUGAGGUCAAGGUGGGUUCUCACCUGCAGCAAUAGCAGAAAUGGAAUCCAGUUCCUUGCGGUUGUAGGACUCAGGGCCCUGUUUCUUUCUGGCUGCCAGCUGGGGGCUGUUCUCAGAUCCCAAAGGCCUCCAGUGUUUGCAUGUCCUCCACAAUUUUCAACCCCUGGGGUACAAUAGCAGCUGUUUGGGCUCUGCAUCCACCAGCCUACCUCUUUUGCCACCAGUGAGAGGAAUUACUCUGCUUUUAAGGGCUGAUGUGAGACCCGGUGUGCCAGGUAAUGUGACCAAGUGUGCAUUCAGGGAUCUCAUCCCACUCACCGGUUUGGAGGUGAGGGGCAUGAAAUCCUGGGGCAACUUUAAAAUUCAGCCCACUGCACUUUGUUCCCAGUUUUUCAUCAUUAUAACGCUGUGAUAACCUGGCACAAAGCAUUCUAGAAGUUCAUGGGAUUAAAGUGUAUUAGCAUUUUAUGAUCUCUUCUGGGUACUACCAAGGGAGGGCAGAGCCCCAUGAGCAGCAUCCAAGCUUUGCUGGUGGUAUGACAUCUGUACAAACACUGACCAAAUGGACAGGGGAAGCAGUGUGUCAUUGUUUUGAAUUUGCAUUUCUUUCAUGGACAGUUCUGUUGAACAUGUGUCUGUAUUCUUUAUUUAGUUGUAUUUAUUUCCCUGAGGAUUCUGUAAAUACUUUUUCUCUUGGGAUAGUGUGCUUUCCGUAAUGAUUUUUUAAUCCCCUUAUUUGGAUUGAUUUUA